This 76-nucleotide transfer RNA is filed under the name Hyphomicrobiales bacterium. RNAcentral's name for it is "tRNA-Lys". It matches the Rfam family "tRNA". From Rfam's summary of the family: Transfer RNA (tRNA) molecules are approximately 80 nucleotides in length. RNAcentral also lists the same sequence under 2 other names. The record is from RNAcentral. Lineage: Bacteria; Pseudomonadati; Pseudomonadota; Alphaproteobacteria; Hyphomicrobiales.
GAGCGCGUAGCUCAGCCGGUAGAGCAUCUGACUUUUAAUCAGGGGGUCCUGGGUUCGAGUCCCAGCGCGCUCACCA